This 492-nucleotide ribosomal RNA is filed under the name uncultured bacterium. RNAcentral describes it as "partial 16S ribosomal RNA". It matches the Rfam family "Bacterial small subunit ribosomal RNA", at positions 30 to 507 of the family's 1533-position model. The record is from RNAcentral.
AUUGAACGCUGGCGGCAUGCUUUACACAUGCAAGUCGAACGGUAACAGGCCUUCGGGUGCUGUCGAGUGGCGAACGGGUGAGUAAUGCAUCGGAACGUACCCAGAGGUGGGGGAUAACGCAGCGCAAGCUGUGCUAAUACCGCAUGUGAUCUGAGGAUGAAAGCGGGGGACCGAGCAGCAAUGUUUGGCCUCGCGCCUUUGGAGCGGCCGAUGUCGGAUUAGCUAGUUGGUGGGGUAAAGGCCUACCAAGGCGACGAUCCGUAGCUGGUCUGAGAGGACGACCAGCCACACUGGAACUGAGACACGGCCCAGACUCCUACGGGAGGCAGCAGUGGGGAAUUUUGGACAAUGGGCGCAAGCCUGAUCCAGCAAUGCCGCGUGCGGGAAGAAGGCCUUCGGGUUGUAAACCGCUUUUGGCAGGAACGAAACGGUGUCCGCUAAUACCGGGCGCUAAUGACGGUACCUGCAGAAUAAGCACCGGCUAACUACGUG